Molecule: ribosomal RNA, 773 nt
Filed under: uncultured Neocallimastigales
Lineage: Eukaryota; Fungi; Neocallimastigomycota; Neocallimastigomycetes; Neocallimastigales
Description: partial large subunit ribosomal RNA
Rfam family: Eukaryotic large subunit ribosomal RNA
Source: RNAcentral
UAUGUGAUCGUCUCUCGCAUAUCAAUAAGCGGAGGAAAAGAAACUAACAAGGAUUCCCCUAGUAACGGCGAGUGAAGCGGGAAGAGCUCAAAUUUGAAAUCUUAAAGGGUUUCCCUUUACGAAUUGUAGUUUAAAGAAGUGUUUUCUGUUGAGGUUUUGGUAAAAGUUCUUUGGAAUAGGACAUCAUAGAGGGUGAGAAUCCCGUAUUUGACCUUUACUUUCAACUUUGUGAUACGCUUUCAAAGAGUCGGAUUGUUUGGGAAUGCAGUCCAAAAUGGGUGGUAAAUUUCAUCUAAAGCUAAAUAUUGGCGAGAGACCGAUAGCGAACAAGUACCGUGAGGGAAAGAUGAAAAGAACUUUGAAAAGAGAGUUAAACAGUACGUGAAAUUGUCAAAAGGGAAGCGUUUGACACCAGUGUCGUUUUCCUGAAAAUCAAUUAAAGAACUGUUUAUGCUAAGCUGUUUAGACUUUAUCAGCUAUCUGUUUAGUUUUGAGCUUUUCUUUAAUGCACUUUUCAGUUAACAAGUCAACAUCAAUUUCUUUUGCUGUAAAAAAGCUUGAGGAAGGUGGCUUGAGAUUCGUCUUAAGUGUUUAUAGCCUCUUGCCUAUGCAGUCGGAGAGAUUGAGGUCUGCAGCGUAGAUCCUUCGGGGCUAAAUGCAUUUGUGCUAAGUUAUAGCAUUUUAUAGACAACUUGUUGACUAUGAUUUGUCUUGUAGCUUACUCGCUUAUGUUAUUUUACCUACGCUUAGGAUGUUGAGCGCAUGUCUCCUCU